Molecule: ribosomal RNA, 253 nt
Filed under: uncultured bacterium
Lineage: Bacteria
Description: partial 16S ribosomal RNA
Rfam family: Bacterial small subunit ribosomal RNA
Source: RNAcentral
UACGUAGGGUGCAAGCGUUAUUCGGAAUUACUGGGCGUAAAGCGUGCGCAGGCGGUUAUGUAAGACAGAUGUGAAAUCCCCGGGCUUAACCUGGGAACUGCAUUUGUGACUGCAUAGCUGGAGUACGGUAGAGGGGGAUGGAAUUCCGCGUGUAGCAGUGAAAUGCGUAGAUAUGCGGAGGAACACCGAUGGCGAAGGCAGUCCCCUGGACCUGUACUGACGCUCAUGCACGAAAGCGUGGGGAGCAAACAGG